Molecule: ribosomal RNA, 433 nt
Filed under: uncultured bacterium
Lineage: Bacteria
Description: partial 16S ribosomal RNA
Rfam family: Bacterial small subunit ribosomal RNA
Source: RNAcentral
AGCGAACGCUGGCGGCAGGCCUAACACAUGCAAGUCGAACGAACUCUUCGGAGUUAGUGGCGGACGGGUGAGUAACACGUGGGAACGUGCCUUUUGGUUCGGAAUAACUCAGGGAAACUUGUGCUAAUACCGAAUGUGCCCUUCGGGGGAAAGAUUUAUCGCCAUUAGAGCGGCCCGCGUCUGAUUAGCUAGUUGGUGAGGUAACGGCUCACCAAGGCGACGAUCAGUAGCUGGUCUGAGAGGAUGACCAGCCACACUGGGACUGAGACACGGCCCAGACUCCUACGGGAAGCAGAAGUGGGGAAUCUUGCGCAAUGGGCGAAAGCCUGACGCAGCCAUGCCGCGUGAAUGAUGAAGGUCUUAGGAUUGUAAAAUUCUUUCACCGGGGACGAUAAUGACGGUACCCGGAGAAGAAGCCCCGGCUAACUUCGUG